UUUUGUUGGUUGUCAUCUAACC
Molecule: microRNA, 22 nt
Filed under: Brachypodium distachyon (stiff brome)
Lineage: Eukaryota; Viridiplantae; Streptophyta; Magnoliopsida; Poales; Poaceae
Description: bdi-miR827-5p
Gene: bdi-miR827-5p
Source: miRBase by way of RNAcentral